Molecule: unclassified non-coding RNA, 372 nt
Filed under: fungal sp.
Lineage: Eukaryota; Fungi
Description: partial internal transcribed spacer region
Rfam family: Eukaryotic small subunit ribosomal RNA (bases 1-46)
Source: RNAcentral
AAGUCGUAACAAGGUUUCCGUAGGUGAACCUGCGGAAGGAUCAUUAUCAUAAUAACGUAUCCACGUAUAAACCAAUUUAACAUGUGAAUUGUUUAUUUACCUCUUUUUUUUUUUAUGUUUCUUUUGUAAACAUUUGUUUGGAUUUUUGGGAGCAAUCUCAAUUAUCUAUCUAAAUGGAUAUAAAAGAAUAAUUAAAUCAAAAGAGUGAAUUUAAUUUAACUAUUAACCAAUUGAACCGUAAUUGUUAUUCUUAUUAUUUUAGUACUGACUUGAUUUUUAUAUUCUCUCAAAUUUAUUUUUGAAAGAAUUGAAAAUUAAAAUUUUACGAAAAAUUAAAAAGAACAACUCUUAGCAACGGAUAUCUUGGUUCUC